ACUUUGUGAUUUAGGCAUUGAAUGAUUUUAUCCUUGAACCUUUGUCAUACUUCAUAUAAAGUCUCACCACUAUAUUGAUGGAAAUUUGUGAUUUCUUCCCUUAAUUU
Molecule: non-coding RNA, 107 nt
Organism: Capsicum annuum
Lineage: Eukaryota; Viridiplantae; Streptophyta; Magnoliopsida; Solanales; Solanaceae
Source: Rfam